GCUUAAUACAUGCAAGUCGAGGGGCAGCAUGGUGUAGCAAUACACUGAUGGCGACCGGCAAACGGGUGCGGAACACGUACACAACCUUCCUUUAAGCGGGGGAUAGCCCAGAGAAAUUUGGAUUAAUACCCCAUAGAAUAGCGAUGAGGCAUCUUAUUGUUAUUAAAGAUUUAUCACUUGAAGAUGGGUGUGCGUCUGAUUAGGUAGUUGGCGGGGUAACGGCCCACCAAGGCGACGAUGGCUAGGGGAGCUGAGAGGCUGGUCCCCCACACGGGCACUGAGAUACGGGCCCGACUCCUACGGGAGGCAGCAGUAGGGAAUAUUGGGCAAUGGCCGAGAGGCUGACCCAGCCAUGCCGCGUGCAGGAUGAAGGCUUUCUGAGUCGUAAACUGCUUUUGCCAGGGAAGAAAAAAGGGGAUGCGUCCUCUACUGACGGUACCUGGUGAAUAAGCACCGGCUAACUCCGUGCCAGCAGCCGCGGUAAU
RNAcentral lists this ribosomal RNA (485 nucleotides) under Ochromonas sp. CCMP1393. RNAcentral's name for it is "partial Bacterial small subunit ribosomal RNA". It matches the Rfam family "Bacterial small subunit ribosomal RNA", at positions 46 to 524 of the family's 1533-position model. Lineage: Eukaryota; Chrysophyceae; Chromulinales; Chromulinaceae. The record is from RNAcentral.